RNAcentral lists this ribosomal RNA (794 nucleotides) under Bacillus subtilis. Its description in RNAcentral is "bacterial SSU rRNA". It matches the Rfam family "Bacterial small subunit ribosomal RNA", at positions 61 to 837 of the family's 1533-position model. Lineage: Bacteria; Bacillati; Bacillota; Bacilli; Caryophanales; Bacillaceae. The record is from RNAcentral.
GUCGAGCGGACAGAUGGGAGCUUGCUCCCUGAUGUUAGCGGCGGACGGGUGAGUAACACGUGGGUAACCUGCCUGUAAGACUGGGAUAACUCCGGGAAACCGGGGCUAAUACCGGAUGGUUGUUUGAACCGCAUGGUUCAAACAUAAAAGGUGGCUUCGGCUACCACUUACAGAUGGACCCGCGGCGCAUUAGCUAGUUGGUGAGGUAACGGCUCACCAAGGCAACGAUGCGUAGCCGACCUGAGAGGGUGAUCGGCCACACUGGGACUGAGACACGGCCCAGACUCCUACGGGAGGCAGCAGUAGGGAAUCUUCCGCAAUGGACGAAAGUCUGACGGAGCAACGCCGCGUGAGUGAUGAAGGUUUUCGGAUCGUAAAGCUCUGUUGUUAGGGAAGAACAAGUACCGUUCGAAUAGGGCGGUACCUUGACGGUACCUAACCAGAAAGCCACGGCUAACUACGUGCCAGCAGCCGCGGUAAUACGUAGGUGGCAAGCGUUGUCCGGAAUUAUUGGGCGUAAAGGGCUCGCAGGCGGUUUCUUAAGUCUGAUGUGAAAGCCCCCGGCUCAACCGGGGAGGGUCAUUGGAAACUGGGGAACUUGAGUGCAGAAGAGGAGAGUGGAAUUCCACGUGUAGCGGUGAAAUGCGUAGAGAUGUGGAGGAACACCAGUGGCGAAGGCGACUCUCUGGUCUGUAACUGACGCUGAGGAGCGAAAGCGUGGGGAGCGAACAGGAUUAGAUACCCUGGUAGUCCACGCCGUAAACGAUGAGUGCUAAGUGUUAGGGGGUUUCCGC